RNAcentral lists this ribosomal RNA (253 nucleotides) under uncultured bacterium. RNAcentral describes it as "partial 16S ribosomal RNA". It matches the Rfam family "Bacterial small subunit ribosomal RNA", at positions 524 to 776 of the family's 1533-position model. The record is from RNAcentral.
UACGAAGGGGGCUAGCGUUGCUCGGAAUCACUGGGCGUAAAGGGUGCGUAGGCGGGCUUUUAAGUCAGGGGUGAAAUCCUGGAGCUCAACUCCAGAACUGCCUUUGAUACUGAAGAUCUUGAGUCCGGGAGAGGUGAGUGGAACUGCGAGUGUAGAGGUGAAAUUCGUAGAUAUUCGCAAGAACACCAGUGGCGAAGGCGGCUCACUGGCCCGAUACUGACGCUGAGGCACGAAAGCGUGGGUAGCAAACAGG